AGAGUUUGAUCAUGGCUCAGAACGAACGCUGGCGGCAGGCCUUAUACAUGCAAGUCGAGCGCAUCCUUCGGGAUGAGCGGCGGACGGGUGAGUAACGCGUGGGAAUGUGCCCUUCUCUACGGAAUAGCCACUGGAAACGGUGAGUAAUACCGUAUACGCCCUUAGGGGGAAAGAUUUAUCGGAGAAGGAUCAGCCCGCGUUAGAUUAGGUAGUUGGUGGGGUAACGGCCUACCGAGCCUACGAUCUAUAGCUGGUUUUAGAGGAUGGUCAGCCACACUGGGACUGAGACACGGCCCAGACUCCUACGGGAGGCAGCAGUAGGGAAUCUUGGACAAUGGGGGAAACCCUGAUCCAGCCAUGCCGCGUGAGUGAAGAAGGCCUUAGGGUCGUAAAGCUCUUUCGCCUGUGAUGAUAAUGACA
RNAcentral lists this ribosomal RNA (420 nucleotides) under uncultured bacterium. RNAcentral's name for it is "bacterial SSU rRNA". It matches the Rfam family "Bacterial small subunit ribosomal RNA", at positions 8 to 456 of the family's 1533-position model. The record is from RNAcentral.